Molecule: ribosomal RNA, 490 nt
Filed under: uncultured bacterium
Lineage: Bacteria
Description: partial 16S ribosomal RNA
Rfam family: Bacterial small subunit ribosomal RNA
Source: RNAcentral
AUUGAACGCUGGCGGCAGGCCUAACACAUGCAAGUCGAACGGUAACAGGAGGAAGCUUGCUUCUUUGCUGACGAGUGGCGGGCGGGUGAGUCAUGUCUGGGAAACUGCCUGAUGGAGGGGGAUAACUACUGGAAACGGUAGCUAAUACCGCAUAACGUCGCAAGACCAAAGAGGGGGACCUUCGGGCCUCUUGCCAUCGGAUGUGCCCAGAUGGGAUUAGCUAGUAGGUGGGGUAACGGCUCACCUAGGCGACGAUCCCUAGCUGGUCUGAGAGGAUGACCAGCCACACUGGAACUGAGACACGGUCCAGACUCCUACGGGAGGCAGCAGUGGGGAAUAUUGCACAAUGGGCGCAAGCCUGAUGCAGCCAUGCCGCGUGUAUGAAGAAGGCCUUCGGGUUGUAAAGUACUUUCAGCGGGGAGGAAGGGAGUAAAGUUAAUACCUUUGCUUAUUGACGUUACCCGCAGAAGAAGCACCGGCUAACUCCGUG